UGGUGGAGUGAUUUGUCUGGUUAAUUCCGUUAACGAACGAGACCUUAGCCUGCUAAAUAGUUACACGUGGUUCCGGUUACGUGGGCAACUUCUUAGAGGGACUUUGCGUGUCUAACGCAAGGAAGUUUGAGGCAAUAACA
RNAcentral lists this ribosomal RNA (140 nucleotides) under uncultured eukaryote. RNAcentral describes it as "partial 18S ribosomal RNA". It matches the Rfam family "Eukaryotic small subunit ribosomal RNA", at positions 1299 to 1458 of the family's 1831-position model. The record is from RNAcentral.